This 254-nucleotide ribosomal RNA is filed under the name uncultured bacterium. Its description in RNAcentral is "partial 16S ribosomal RNA". It matches the Rfam family "Bacterial small subunit ribosomal RNA", at positions 524 to 776 of the family's 1533-position model. The record is from RNAcentral.
UACGUAGGGUGCGAGCGUUGUCCGGAAUUAUUGGGCGUAAAGAGCUCGUAGGCGGCUUGUCGCGUCGACUGUGAAAACCCGCGGCUCAACCGUGUGGCUUGCAGUUGAUACGGGCAGGCUAGAGUUCGGUAGGGGAGACUGGAAUUCCUGGUGUAGCGGUGAAAUGCGCAGAUAUCAGGAGGAACACCGAUGGCGAAGGCAGGUCUCUGGGCCACUACUGACGCUGAGAAGCGAAAGCAUGGGGAGCGAACAGG